AGAUUGAACGCUGGCGGCAGGCCUAACACAUGCAAGUCGAGCGGCAGCACGGGUACUUGUACCUGGUGGCGAGCGGCGGACGGGUGAGUAAUGCCUAGGAAUCUGCCUGGUAGUGGGGGAUAACGCUCGGAAACGGACGCUAAUACCGCAUACGUCCUACGGGAGAAAGCGAGGGGACCUUCGGGCCUUGCGCUAUCAGAUGAGCCUAGGUCGAUUAGCUAGUUGGUGGGGUAAUGGCGUCA
RNAcentral lists this ribosomal RNA (242 nucleotides) under uncultured soil bacterium. RNAcentral describes it as "partial 16S ribosomal RNA". It matches the Rfam family "Bacterial small subunit ribosomal RNA", at positions 26 to 267 of the family's 1533-position model. The record is from RNAcentral.